Molecule: signal recognition particle RNA, 298 nt
Filed under: Cebus imitator (Panamanian white-faced capuchin)
Lineage: Eukaryota; Metazoa; Chordata; Mammalia; Primates; Cebidae
Description: Metazoan signal recognition particle RNA (ENSCCAG00000014326.1)
Rfam family: Metazoan signal recognition particle RNA
About the family: The signal recognition particle (SRP) is a universally conserved ribonucleoprotein.
Source: RNAcentral
GCCAGGCACGGUGGUGCGUGCCUGUAGUCCCAGCUAUUUGGGAGGCUGAGGUGAGAGAAUCAUUUGAGCCCAGGAGUUCUGGGCUGUAGUGCGCUAUGCUGAUCGGGUGUCCACACUAAGUUCGGCAUCAAUAUGGUGACCUCCCGGGAGCGGGGGACCACCAGGUUGCCUAAGGAGGGGUGAACCGGCCCAGGUCGGAAACGGAGCAUGUCAAAACUCCCGUGCUGAUGAGUAGUGGGAUCUUGCCUGUGAAUAGCCACUGCACUCCAGCCUGGGCAAUAUAGCAAGGCCCAUCUCU